RNAcentral lists this ribosomal RNA (424 nucleotides) under uncultured bacterium. RNAcentral describes it as "partial 16S ribosomal RNA". It matches the Rfam family "Bacterial small subunit ribosomal RNA", at positions 360 to 776 of the family's 1533-position model. The record is from RNAcentral.
AAUUUUGGACAAUGGGCGCAAGCCUGAUCCAGCCAUGCCGCGCGAGUGAAGAAGCCCUUCGGGUUGUAAAGCUCUUUCGGACGGAAAGAAAUCGCGCAGGCUAAUCCCCUCUGCGGAUGACGGUACCGUCGUAUGAAGCACCGGCUAACUACGUGCUUGCAGCCGCGGUAAUACGUAGGGUGCAAGCGUUCAUCGGAAUUACUGGGCGUAAAGCGUGUGCAGGCGGUUGAUUAAGACAGGCGUAGAAUCCCCGGGCUUAACCUGGGAACUGCGCUUGUGACUGGUCAGCUAGAGUACGGCAGAGGGGGGUGGAAUUCCACGUGUAGCAGUGAAAUGCGUAGAGAUGUGGAGGAACACCGAUGGCGAAGGCAGCCCCCUGGGCCGAUACUGACGCUCAUGCACGAAAGCGUGGGUAGCAAACAGG